GGGUCGUGAUGGAUUAACGACA
RNAcentral lists this small nuclear RNA (22 nucleotides) under Arabidopsis thaliana (thale cress). Its description in RNAcentral is "snRNA_15073". The record is from RNAcentral. Lineage: Eukaryota; Viridiplantae; Streptophyta; Magnoliopsida; Brassicales; Brassicaceae.